Molecule: ribosomal RNA, 867 nt
Filed under: uncultured fungus
Lineage: Eukaryota; Fungi
Description: SSU rRNA
Rfam family: Eukaryotic small subunit ribosomal RNA
Source: RNAcentral
GUGCCAGCAGCCGCGGUAAUUCCAGCUCCAAUAGCGUAUAUUAAAGUUGUUGUGGUUAAAAAGCUCGUAGUUGAACCUUGGGCCUGGCUGGCCGGUCCGCCUCACCGCGUGCACUGGUCCGGCCGGGCCUUUCCCUCUGUGGAACCCCAUACCCUUCACUGGACGUGGCGGGGAAACAGGACAUUUACUUUGAAAAAAUUAGAGUGCUCCAGGCAGGCCUAUGCUCGAAUACAUUAGCAUGGAAUAAUAAAAUAGGACGCGCGGUUCUAUUUUGUUGGUUUAUAGGACCGCCGUAAUGAUUAAUAGGGACAGUCGGGGGCAUCAGUAUUCAACUGUCAGAGGUGAAAUUCUUGGAUCAGUUGAAGACUAACUACUGCGAAAGCAUUUGCCAAGGAUGUUUUCAUUAAUCAGGAACGAAAGUUAGGGGAUCGAAGACGAUCAGAUACCGUCGUAGUCUUAACCAUAAACUAUGCCGACUAGGGAUCGGACGGUGUUAUUCAUGACCCGUUCGGCACCUUACGAGAAAUCAAAGUGCUUGGGCUCCAGGGGGAGUAUGGUCGCAAGGCUGAAACUUAAAGAAAUUGACGGAAGGGCACCACCAGGGGUGGAGCCUGCGGCUUAAUUUGACUCAACACGGGAAACUCACCAGGUCCAGACACAAUAAGGAUUGACAGAUUGAGAGCUCUUUCUUGAUUUUGUGGUGUGGUGCAUGGCCCGUUCUUAGUUGGUGGGGUGACUGUCUGCUUAAUUGCGAUAACGAACGAAAACCUUAACCUGCUAAAUAAGCCCGCAUGCUCCCGCCAGUGCGCCUGGCCUGCUUAAGAGGAACUUUACUGCCUCCAAGCCCGAAGGAAAGAUUUGAUGGCA